This 2088-nucleotide ribosomal RNA is filed under the name Triticum aestivum (bread wheat). Its description in RNAcentral is "partial small subunit ribosomal RNA". Lineage: Eukaryota; Viridiplantae; Streptophyta; Magnoliopsida; Poales; Poaceae. The record is from RNAcentral.
AUGGCGGCCGCGCGGCAAGCGGCGGGCGCGUCCGGCAGCCUCCACCAGCACCCGGUGCAGCAUGCGCACCUCGCGGCGCUCCUCAACCCGACCCCGCGCACGCCGCCCCUCCCGCCCCCGCUCCGCCGGCGCCACCUCCCGCUCUCGCCCCAGGCCGCCUCCCGCCUCGCGGCCUCCUUCCCGCCGCUGCCGCUCCUCCUCGCGCUGCUCUCCGCGCUCCGCCUCCUCCCUUCCCCGCCGCCGCCGCGGCCCUUCGACGCGCUCAUCAGGGCCUACGCCUCCCUCCCCUCCCCGUCCCUCGCCGCCGCGGCGCUCGCGUUCGCCAGGUCGGCGGGCUACGCGCCCUCCCUCCCCGCCUACAACGCCGUGCUCCUCGCGCUCUCCGACGCCUCGCUCGCCUCCGCGCGGCGCUUCCUCGAGGGCUCCAUGCUCCGCGCCGGCGUGGCCCCCAACGUGUACACCUACAACAUCCUCGUCCGCGCGCUCUGCGCCCGCGGCCGCCGCGAGGAGGCGCUCGCGGCCGUCGUGGACGGCGACAUGCGCGCCGCGGGGUGCGCGCCCAACGCCGUCACCUACAACACGCUCGUCGCCGCGUUCUGCAGGGCCGGGGACGUGGGCGGCGCGGAGAGGCUCGUCGCCGCGAUGCGGGAGGCCGGGGUGAGGCCGAGCCUGGUGACCUUCAACACGGUGGUGAACGGGAUGUGCAAGGCGGGGAGGAUGGAGGACGCGCGCAAGGUGUUCGACGGAAUGGCGAGGGAGGGGUUGGCCCCCGAUGGGGUCAGUUAUAACACCUUGGUGAGUGGGUACUGCAAGGCAGGCUGCCUGCAUGAGGCGCUGACGGUGUUCUCAGAGAUGUCUCAGAAAGGGGUUGCACCAGAUGUUGUGACGUUUACGUCGCUUAUCCAUGCGAUGUGCAGGGCUGGGAACUUGGAGCGGGCAGUGGCCCUGGUGGGGCAGAUGAAGGAGAGGGGCCUCCGGAUGAAUGAGAUCGCUUUCACAGCACUGAUAGACGGGUUCUGCAAGAACGGGUUCUUGGAUGACGCAUUGCUCGCACUGAAGGAGAUGAGGGAAUGCAGGAUCAAGCCUUCAGUAGUGUGCUACAAUGCGCUUAUCAAUGGUUACUGCAAGUUAGGAAGAAUGGACGAAGCGAGGGAGUUGGUCGAUGAAAUGGAGGCUAAAGGAGUGAAGCCUGACGUCGUGACAUAUAGUACAAUUCUCAGUGGGUACUGUAAGAUUGGUGAUACAGAUUCUGCAUUUGAAUUGAACCGGAAAAUGCUGAAAAAAGGCGUGAUUCCAGAUGCAAUCACCUACUCAUCGCUCAUAAGGGGUCUUUGCGAGGAGAAAAGACUCAGUGAUGCAUGUGAACUCUUUGAGAAGAUGCUUCAACUUGGCCUACAGCCUGAUGAAUUUACUUAUACAAUACUGAUUGAUGGCCAUUGCAAGGAGUGGGAUGUUGAGAAAGCUCUUUCUCUGCACGAUGAGAUGAUAAAGAAAGGAGUUCUCCCUGAUGUUGUGACAUACAGUGUGCUUAUAGAUGGGCUUAGCAAGUCAGCACGUACAAAGGAAGCACAACGGUUACUCUUCAAGCUGUACUACGAAGACCCUGUUCCAGACAAUAUUAAAUAUGAGGCUCUGAUGCGUUGUUGCAGGAAAGCUGAGUUCAAGAGUGUGGUGGCUCUUCUUAAGGGAUUUUCCAUGAAAGGCUUGAUGAAUGAAGCCGACAAAGUUUACCAGUCAAUGUUGGACAGAGGUUGGAAGCUGGAUGGUUCAGUGUAUGCUGUACUCAUUCAUGGGCAUUGUCGGGGAGGAAAUGUUCUGAAGGCUCUCAACUUCCAUAAGAAAAUGCUGCAGUGUGGUUUUCCUCCUAAUUCAACAAGCACUAUUUCAUUGGUUAGGGGCCUAUUUGAAGAGGGGAUGACUGUUGAAGCAGAUACCGUGAUUCAGGAGUUGCUGAAUUGCUGUUCGCUAGCAGAUGCAGAAACAUCGAAGGCCCUUAUUGAUCUCAAUCGGAACGAAGGUAACGUGGACGCUGUGGUUGAUGUCCUCCGUGGCAUGACAAGGGAUGGGCUACUUCCAAGCUCAGGGUGA